AGCCCUGUGGUUCAGUGGUUAGAAUGCCCGCAGGUAUUGCGGGAGGCCGGGGUUCAAACCCUCGCUGGGCUA
This 72-nucleotide transfer RNA is filed under the name Serendipita indica DSM 11827. Its description in RNAcentral is "Piriformospora indica DSM 11827 tRNA". It matches the Rfam family "tRNA". From Rfam's summary of the family: Transfer RNA (tRNA) molecules are approximately 80 nucleotides in length. Their secondary structure includes four short double-helical elements and three loops (D, anti-codon, and T loops). Further hydrogen bonds mediate the characteristic L-shaped molecular structure. tRNAs have two regions of fundamental functional importance: the anti-codon, which is responsible for specific mRNA codon recognition, and the 3' end, to which the tRNAs corresponding amino acid is attached (by aminoacyl-tRNA synthetases). tRNAs cope with the degeneracy of the genetic code in two manners: having more than one tRNA (with a specific anti-codon) for a particular amino acid; and 'wobble' base-pairing, i.e. permitting non-standard base-pairing at the 3rd anti-codon position. Lineage: Eukaryota; Fungi; Basidiomycota; Agaricomycetes; Sebacinales; Serendipitaceae. The record is from Rfam by way of RNAcentral.